This 782-nucleotide ribosomal RNA is filed under the name uncultured bacterium. RNAcentral describes it as "bacterial SSU rRNA". It matches the Rfam family "Bacterial small subunit ribosomal RNA", at positions 34 to 791 of the family's 1533-position model. The record is from RNAcentral.
CGCUGGCGGCGUGGAUAAGACAUGCAAGUCGAACGGGACUUUUUUUUGUAGCAAUACAGAAAAAAGUCUAGUGGCGAACGGGUGCGUAACACGUGAGCAACCUGCCGUGAAGUGGGGGAUAGCUCGCCGAAAGGCGAAUUAAUACCGCAUGUGGCCAAGGAAGACAUCUUCCUGACGCCAAAGCCGGGGUAACCUGGCGCUUCUCGAGGGGCUCGCGGCCUAUCAGCUUGUUGGUGAGGUAAUGGCUCACCAAGGCAUUGACGGGUAGCUGGUCUGAGAGGACGACCAGCCACACUGGAACUGAGACACGGUCCAGACACCUACGGGUGGCAGCAGUCGAGAAUCUUUCACAAUGGGGGAAACCCUGAUGGAGCGACGCCGCGUGGAGGAUGAAGGUUUUCGGAUCGUAAACUCCUGUCAUUAGAGAACAAUGCACACGGUUUAACUGGCUGUGUGUUGAUAGUAUCUGAAGAGGAAGGGACGGCUAACUCUGUGCCAGCAGCCGCGGUAAUACAGAGGUCUCAAGCGUUGUUCGGAUUCAUUGGGCGUAAAGGGUGCGUAGGUGGCGAGGUAAGUCGGAUGUGAAAUCUCCAAGCUCAACUUGGAAACUGCAUUCGAUACUGCUUUGCUAGAGGNAUUGUAGAGGGCAUUGGAAUUCACGGGUGUAGCAGUGAAAUGCGUAGAUAUCGUGAGGAAGACCCAGUGGCGAAGGCGAAUGCCUGGGCAAUUCCUGACACUGAGGCACGAAGGCCAGGGGAGCGAACGGGAUUAGAUACCCCGGU